CACUGGUGCGCGAGAUGAGUAUUCUAAGGCGCUUGAGAGAACUCUGGAGAAGGAACUCGGCAAAUUGACACCGUAACUUCGGAAGAAGGUGUGCCUUUAGUAGGUGAUCCAUUUACUUGGUGAGCCCAAUGAGGCCGCAGAGAAUCGGUGGCUGCAACUGUUUAUUAAAAACACAGCACUCUGCAAAGACGAAAGUCGACGUAUAGGGUGUGACUCCUGCCCGGUGCUGGAAGAUUAAAUGAUGGGGUGCAAGCUCUUGACUGAAGUCCCAGUAAACGGCGGCCGUAACAAUAACGGUCCUAAGGUAGCGAAAUUCCUUGUCGGGUAAGUUCCGACCUGCACGAAUGGAGUAAUGAUGGCCACACUGUCUCCUCCAGAGACUCAGCGAAGUUGAAAUGUUUGUGAUGAUGCAAUCUCCCCGCGGAAAGACGGAAAGACCCCAUGAACCUUUACUGUAGCUUUACAUUGGACUUUGAACAGAUCUGUGUAGGAUAGGUGGGAGGCUUUGAAGUAGGGACGCUAGUUUCUAUGGAGCCAACGUUGAAAUACCACCCUGGUGUGUUUGAGGUUCUAACCUUGUCCCGUUAUCCGGGAUGGGGACAGUGUAUGGUGGGCAGUUUGACUGGGGCGGUCUCCUCCCAAAGUGUAACGGAGGAGUUCGAAGGUACGCUAAAUACGGUCGGAAAUCGUGUUGAUAGUGCAUUGGCAUAAGCGUGCUUGACUGCGAGACUGACAAGUCGAGCAGGUACGAAAGUAGGACAAAGUGAUCCGGUGGUUCUGUAUGGAAGGGCCAUCGCUCAACGGAUAAAAGGUACUCUGGGGAUAACAGGCUGAUACCGCCCAAGAGUUCAUAUCGACGGCGGUGUUUGGCACCUCGAUGUCGGCUCAUCUCAUCCUGGGGCUGUAGCCGGUCCCAAGGGUAUGGCUGUUCGCCAUUUAAAGAGGUACGUGAGCUGGGUUUAAAACGUCGUGAGACAGUUUGGUCCCUAUCUUCCGUGGGCGCUGCAAGAUUGAGAGAGCCUGCUCCUAGUACGAGAGGACCGGAGUGGACGCACCUCUGGUGUAUCGGUUGUCACGCCAGUGGCAUCGCCGAGUAGCUAAGUGCGGAAGAGAUAACCGCUGAAAGCAUCUAAGCGGGAAACUCGUCUCAAGAUGAGUCUUGCCGGGGCCUAGAGCCCCCUGAAGGGUCGUUCGAGACCAGGACGUUGAUAGGCUGGGUGUGGAAGCGCAGUAAUGCGUUAAGCUAACCAGUACUAAUUGCCCGUGAGGCUUGACCAA
This 1278-nucleotide ribosomal RNA is filed under the name metagenome. RNAcentral describes it as "bacterial LSU rRNA". It matches the Rfam family "Bacterial large subunit ribosomal RNA", at positions 1658 to 2925 of the family's 2925-position model. The record is from RNAcentral.